This is a long non-coding RNA of Clarias gariepinus (North African catfish), 2472 nucleotides long. RefSeq lists it as uncharacterized. NCBI's taxonomy places the organism in Eukaryota, Metazoa, Chordata, Actinopteri, Siluriformes, Clariidae. The transcript is spliced from 5 exons. The record is from RefSeq and is a predicted model, not a curated record.
CUUGGUCAUGCACUUUUUAGACGGCCCCUUAGUGACUCCAUAAAUAUAAAGCGUGUGUGUCCUGUUCCCCUAAUGUUUUGUACAAUCCUAUGAGAAAGAUCACACUUGAAGCAUUCAGCUUGUGCAUUUAUCCCAGAUUUCAGCUCCUCUUUCCCAUAAAACAUCAGCACAGAUUGAGAAUGGGAGAUAAACGGACUACUGUAACAGUUAAAAAUCUAACUUUAUCCACGUGGACCGUCUGCAUCUCUGGUUACUAUGGAAAUGCUCAUCGCAGAUUCAUAGUUAAACCUGGCGAAAUAAACCCUCAGACUGGUUCCUUCUGUUGUGAAUAUCCAGAAAUCAAGUUGAAGUAUGGAGAUUGCUCAACGCCAGCCUGUUGCGAUAAUGCAGAUUUAUUUUGCAAAUUUUAUUACAAAGAUGACCUACGUUUCUCUAUUGGAGAGAGUGGAGACCACCGUGCAAUACAUCUGGACUGCAAUGCCAAGACUUAUGACCCAAAGCAACUAACAUGCAAAAGUUAUGGAUCUUGAUGGACCAAAGUCCCCAAAAAAACAUAGGUGCUACCCCAGCUGGUGGGAAAUUUUUUUUUUUAAAUGCAUCUUAAUUAAUUAGAAUAUCAUUAAAAGUUGAUUUAUUUCAGUAGUUCAAUUCAAAAGGUAAAACGUAUAUAAUAUAGAUUCAUUACACACAGACUGAUAUAAUAAAUGUUUAUUUCUUUUCAUUUUGUUGAUUUUGGCUUACAGCUAAUGAAAACCCAAAAUUCAGUAUCUCAGAAAAUUUGAAAACUUGAAAUGGUCUCACAAUCGUGGACCCAAUCGUGGGGAAGCACAUUAAUAAAAUUGAGGCAUUUAUGAGAUUCCAUGUUACUUAGACUGUGUAAAAAAGGCCUCAUUGUUUAUCGUUUGCUACUUCUUAAAGGAACCAUAUUUCAUUAAAAAAAAAAUUAUCUGCAAGUUAAAAUAUGACAUAUAAUCAUAUUUCAAUGGACUAGUUUUUCUUUAGCAUUGAUAAAGACAUAAUACAAUGAUUUUAAAGGGCUAAUUCUUAGUUCAUUAUUCACUUAUGCCCAAUUAUACAACCUUCUUUAUUCAGAUGAAUACAAAGAUUUUUAUGAAAAUUAAAACAUAAUGUUCAUGACAAUAAUUUAUAUGACCCAAGUGAAUGAAUCAUAGUCCUCCAAUAAAAAACAGUUGUUUGCAAGAAACACAGUAAUAUUUGCAAAGUUUAACUUUAAAUCUUUAAUUAAUCAUACAGAGGAUGUUCUAACCCCAAGUUCUAAGUGCAUUGUGGAGUUAGAGUUUAAGGUCAGUGGGUCAGUUUGAGAAAUAAUGUUGGAUGCAUGGAGGAUCAUCAAAGUUUUAUAUUUGCUUACAUCAUAUUAUAUCUUCGUAUAAUGGUAUUAGGAAGAUCACAUACCUUGGUGAUCUUCCUAAUAACAUUAUACUGAAAGCAUUGUUUAUCUGAAGACAUAUACAGUGGAAAAUCCAUAAAAGCUUUUAAUGUCUAAGAGUUUAGGGAUUUGCGCAUAUGUGUCUUUGGUUGUGCUUUAGUUUUGAGACUAAUUUGUGUUUGCAGUGUUUUGAAACUGGUACACAUGUGUUUACCGGGCUUUUUUCACGUACAUUGGAACCUUGGAUUAUGAGCAUAAUUCAUUCCGAAAGCAGCCUCGUAUUUCAAACCACUCAUAAACCAAAUCGAAUUUUUUAGUAAAAAAUAAUGGAAACUCAAAUUAUUCGUUCCACAGCCUGAAAAAAUAAAUACUUAAAAAUAAUUAACACAAAAUAUUAAAUAAAAAUAAAACAAAUUAACCUGCACUUUACCUUUGAAAAUAAUCGCGACAGAGCAGUGUUUCUGUGUAGAGCAGAAAAUUAUCCACAAUUCCGCAGCCCAAGAAAAAGAAAAACCGUUGGCUCAGUUGUGAUCACGUGACGCUCGGCGUCAAAACAGGAAGCGCAUGCAUGAUACAUGAUACUCUGUACUCCUAAACUAAGACUUGUUCGUUUUUCAAGUCAAAAUGUAUUAAAAAUCUAACACUCGCAAACCGCAUUACGAAGGAGUUUUAAUUUACUUAGAUGUUGUUUUUAGGUUUUUCCCUUUUUUAUUUGGGCACACUGGUCAUUGUACUCAUUUAGUUUUCCUUUUUUUUUUUUUUUGCUUAGUUAUCCGUGUUUAUCUUAAAUUGCUUUAUUUUGCUUAAGUUGUAACAGCUUUGCAUAUUAAAACAAUAAAAGGACUACCUUCCAUUGCGAGGCUAGUGCCACAAGUGCUGUGUUCCAGUACUGUUUUCUUGAAGAUUGGGAGAGAUGACUACAGUAAGCUACACUCUCAAGGUCUUAUUCUAAAGUUAGUGCUGAAUCUAUAAAGGCCUGAUAUUUUGAGUAUUUGGUCAUGUCCAUGGUUCCCAGAGCUCAAGCAGUCAUUUACUGCAAAGGAUUUUUUUCCAAACAUUAAAGCCAAUCCUUAUGUUUGUAA